CAGUAGCCGCGGGAAUACGAACCGUGCGAACGUUAUUCGGAAUCACUGGGCGUAAAGCGUGCGCAGGCGGUUCUAUAAGACAGAUGUGAAAUCCCCGGGCUCAACCUGGGAACUGCAUUUGUGACUGUAGAGCUGGAGUGCGGCAGAGGGGGAUGGAAUUCCGCGUGUAGCAGUGAAAUGCGUAGAUAUGCGGAGGAACACCGAUGGCGAAGGCAAUCCCCUGGGCCUGCACUGACGCUCAUGCACGAAAGCGUGGGGAGCAAACAGGAUUAGAUACCCCGGUAGUCCCUGUCUCUUAUAA
RNAcentral lists this ribosomal RNA (301 nucleotides) under uncultured bacterium. Its description in RNAcentral is "partial 16S ribosomal RNA". It matches the Rfam family "Bacterial small subunit ribosomal RNA", at positions 509 to 809 of the family's 1533-position model. The record is from RNAcentral.